Long non-coding RNA from Hemicordylus capensis (graceful crag lizard), 1540 nucleotides. RefSeq lists it as uncharacterized. The transcript has 2 exons. NCBI's taxonomy places the organism in Eukaryota, Metazoa, Chordata, Lepidosauria, Squamata, Cordylidae. The record is from RefSeq and is a predicted model, not a curated record.
GGCGGGGCGGCGGCGCGCUCAUUAGAAGGCGGAGGCGCUUGGCGCGCGGACUGGAGAGGGGACUCCGCGCUGGCCCUGCUGCCUGGGGCGCCCCCGCCUUCCCCGCCAGGACCCGCGUGAAUCCGAGUGGAGCGUCGAUCUCUGCGGACAGAAGCCGGGAGGCUCCCCCGGAGGAGGCUCGUGCAGCUGCCGUUCGCGGGUCCGGUCCUGGGCAUGUGACCUGCUGACUCACAGAUACCUCAUUUUACAUACACAAUCCUGCCACUGAAAUGAGCUGCACACACUCCUUUUGAGAGCAGAAAAGGUACUAGGGGAAAUAUGCUUGGGACAUGUCCAGAGGAGGUUGGGAUUUUUAAAAGCACAAAUACUUAAUUAAUCCUUUUCACUUUUAUUGCUCUCAAGGGAUUUUAAUCACUCAAGGAUACAUCUAAAACAACAUGAUGCCCCCAGAAAGCAGAAGAUCCUUUCAGAUUCAAAUGUACUAUGAUUCAAGCUUAAAAUAUAUGGCCAUUAUAAAAUAAAAUGGCUAAUGUUUAAAAUGAAAUCCUUCAAGUUGCAAAUGGUUCCUUUACUUCCAAGUGAAAUUCUAAAACAGAAAUCCCCAUUUCUUCACCAUUUCCACUGUGGGUACUUUGAGGUUUAGUAGGAUUCCCGUUCUGGCUGAAGCUCUUUCCACUCUCUGAGCACGUAUAUGGUUUCUACACAGUGUGGGUUCUUUGAUGCCAAUUAAGAUUUCCACUGUGCUGAAGCUCUUUCCAUACUCCAAGCAUUUAUGGGGUUUCCCCCUUGUGUUCAUUUCCCACUGUGAUUGAAAGCUUGGUUCGGAACGGAGGAUUUUGCUAUUCUCAGGGCAGGGACUUCUUUCUCCUGUUAUUUUUGAGAUUAUUGUUUUACAGAUGCCACCCUGCUGGGAAGCAGAAGGUCCCUUCUUGUUCUUCUCCACUGCUUAAGGUUUUCCUUCUGUUGUUCCCUCUUUUCCCCUCUGAUCCCUCUGCACAGUCAUGGGUGGGGCCUUCCUUCCUCCUCACUCUCCUAGCCCUCACCUGCUGAAACAAAGAGAGAGAACCGGUCAGAGCCUGAGACAGGAAAGGCCUUCCCUUCUCAAAUGGCAGCACAGAGGGACUGCUCUGAUCACAGAAGAACCACAAAGCCACCCUGCUCUGGGUGACUGAGUCCUGGGGAGAGACGGCAGGCAGAGCCCUUGCUGUGUCCCUCUAAGGUCUCAAGCCAGCAGCAACCUGGCCUGCUCCCAAGGGUUUCUGCCCGCCUGACAAGAUCAUCGGAGGGGGCUCUGCUCCGUGUGCCAACAGUGAGAGAGAUUCGGUUGCCGAGUACGUGGGACGGGGCCUUCUCAGUCAUGGCCCCCAGGCUUUGGAGUGCUUUCCCGGUUGGCGUCCGCUCCUCAGUCUCCUUGACAGUUUUAAGGAAAAAAGUAACUGGGCUCUGCACCCAUGAAAAGUAUUGUUUUACUAUUGCCACUUUGUGUUUUAUGUAUUAUUGUUUUUUAAUGGAUCAUUAAAUGUUAUUUAUAUUAUUUUUA